This 253-nucleotide ribosomal RNA is filed under the name uncultured bacterium. Its description in RNAcentral is "partial 16S ribosomal RNA". It matches the Rfam family "Bacterial small subunit ribosomal RNA", at positions 524 to 776 of the family's 1533-position model. The record is from RNAcentral.
UACGUAGGGUGCAAGCGUUGUCCGGAAUUAUUGGGCGUAAAGAGCUUGUAGGCGGUUUGUCGCGUCUGCUGUGAAAAUCCGGAGCUCAACCCCGGACUUGCAGUGGGUACGGGCAGACUAGAGUGUGGUAGGGGAGACUGGAAUUCCUGGUGUAGCGGUGAAAUGCGCAGAUAUCAGGAGGAACACCGAUGGCGAAGGCAGGUCUCUGGGCCACUACUGACGCUGAGAAGCGAAAGCAUGGGGAGCGAACAGG